RNAcentral lists this non-coding RNA (29 nucleotides) under Mus musculus (house mouse). The record is from RNAcentral. Lineage: Eukaryota; Metazoa; Chordata; Mammalia; Rodentia; Muridae.
UCUUAUGCUCUUGAAGCACCUGUGCCAGA